This 497-nucleotide ribosomal RNA is filed under the name uncultured bacterium. Its description in RNAcentral is "partial 16S ribosomal RNA". It matches the Rfam family "Bacterial small subunit ribosomal RNA", at positions 28 to 507 of the family's 1533-position model. The record is from RNAcentral.
GAUGAACGCUGGCGGCGUGCCUAAUACAUGCAAGUCGAGCGAACAGACGAGGAGCUUGCUCCUCUGACGUUAGCGGCGGACGGGUGAGUAACACGUGGAUAACCUACCUAUAAGACUGGGAUAACUUCGGGAAACCGGAGCUAAUACCGGAUAAUAUAUUGAACCGCAUGGUUCAAUAGUGAAAGACGGUUUUGCUGUCACUUAUAGAUGGAUCCGCGCCGCAUUAGCUAGUUGGUAAGGUAACGGCUUACCAAGGCGACGAUGCGUAGCCGACCUGAGAGGGUGAUCAGCCACACUGGAACUGAGACACGGUCCAGACUCCUACGGGAGGCAGCAGUAGGGAAUCUUCCGCAAUGGGCGAAAGCCUGACGGAGCAACGCCGCGUGAGUGAUGAAGGUCUUCGGAUCGUAAAGCUCUGUUAUUAGGGAAGAACAAAUGUGUAAGUAACUAUGCACGUCUUGACGGUACCUAAUCAGAAAGCCACGGCUAACUACGUG